CUGCAUGAGUUGCAUCCUGCUGUAAAUAUGGACAAAAAAUAUACUUGAUGGAAUUUAGGUGAGCAUUAUGUGAGUCGUAGAUGCUAAUAUAGGACCAUCACACAUAC
Molecule: small nucleolar RNA, 107 nt
Filed under: Dichanthelium oligosanthes
Lineage: Eukaryota; Viridiplantae; Streptophyta; Magnoliopsida; Poales; Poaceae
Source: RNAcentral